Molecule: long non-coding RNA, 6619 nt
Filed under: Fragaria vesca (wild strawberry)
Lineage: Eukaryota; Viridiplantae; Streptophyta; Magnoliopsida; Rosales; Rosaceae
Description: long non-coding RNA (FVES_LNC000979)
Source: RNAcentral
AAAAAGAUAUUGCCAAGAGAAAAUCUUGCGAGAAAAAGUAGGAGAUAAAUAUCUUAGUUUGCAAAGAGGAAGGAAAUAAACAAAAUAGUUAUCUGUUAAUGGAUUAUUGAAGACUAAAUAUCAAUUAGCUAGGAUUUUCAGCAAAGAUAUUAUUGGAAGAAUUAGAGACUCUCCAACAGCAUCUCUAUAAUUUCUGUAUUAUAAGGAAACAAAAGUCAAAGUUAUAAACAAUUUUCUUUCUACAACUCCAAUAGAUUUUCUAUUUUAGAGAUUCAUGUUCAUUCUCUAAAUCUUUUUCUAAAAUUAUAAUUUUGAUAAAGAGUACGUGAAUACGAGAACAAAUGUCUACUCAUUCAUUGAUAGAUUGGCCUUUAUAUAGGCAUUACAUAGAGAAUCCAUGUAAAUCAAGGAUAGAUAUCUAAGAGAUAUUCUAGUCUAAUAAGGAGAAGAUUCGGUCAAGACACAUCAUCAAGGAUAGGAAUGUAAAUUCCUUCAACACUCCCCCUUGUGUCGCGUACCAUAAUCACAUGGCGCAUGAACGUUGCCUCUGUAAAAACCUUGCCAAAUAAAACAAAAAUGUAAUACCUCGGAAUUUUAGAUGCUAGUUUCUAUUAUUUUUGAAUGGUUGACUUUUUGGUUGACUUUUUAUUCUUUGGGUUUCUCAAGAAACUUUCUUCACGAAAGUUGUAGAGCACGAUGAUAUGAGUUCGUAGACACGUGACACGCGUAAAACGGAUAUCGUAUGAGGAAGUUAUGGUCAGAGGAAGUUAGACUCCGUUGUGGAAAAAGUAUAAAUAGAAAAAGUUGUGGGUUUUAUUUUAGAAAACCUAAUUUGUAGAAAACCCCAACUCUCUUCUCUCUCCUUCCUCCCCGAGCCUUCCGUGUUCUCCCGUCUUCUCCGGCACCAAACGCAGCCGUCCGGCCACCGUUCGGAACGGCACCGGUCUCGUCUGGUUCGUAGGACCAUCGCCUUCAAGUCUAGGACAGUUUUGCACGGCGGGUGAGGCCGACCACGACGCCUCGCUGUGGGAGCAGGCCGAGUUGCUUGGCCGGAAACCAUUUUUUUUUUCCGGUGACGAUUUAAGCAGUGAACGGUAAGACGUGAAGCUCUCUUCCUUCUAAGUGUGUUUGUGCUAGUCUCCAUGGCCGUCAACCGGCGUAGGUGGUGCAGCUAGGCCCGACACCACCGUCGACGCGUCACCGAUCGGAACCGCCGUUUGCGGCGGUGACGAGGAGCAACCUUAGGUGAGUUUUGGUCCUCUCUUCCUCCUGGUUUUGUCUAGGCAUAGAUUGAAGCAAGUUUUUGAGGUUUUGAGGCCGGUUUUGCAGGUGUGAGGUGUGAUUCCGGUUUAGGGUUUUCGGGGCAGUUUCCGGCCGGUUCCGGCCAAAAUUGGUUGAAGCCUCAGGUAUGAAAGUUGUUCCCCUUGCUUCAAGCUUCAACUUUGCAGUUGAGAGUUCUCUCAAAUUCGGAUGUUUGGGGUGGCGAGUGGGGCCCACUCGCCGCCGCCUGUGGCCGCGCGUCCGGCUGAGUUGCGGUCUUAGUUUCCUGUGGUUAGCCAGUCCUUACUGUUGGGAGCUUGUUGAGUGGUAGUGUGGCUAGAUUUUAAGCAAGGUUGGCAUGUUAGGACUUAGGUUUAUUUGUGUAGGCUUGGUUGAGGUUUGACUUAGGAUUUGAGGAUUAGAGGCAGCCAUUUUGGGUCUCUAAGUUCGACGACUUUGGAAAGUCGUUCUCUCUUGAUCUAAGGGUUAGUUGAGGGUAUUGUGAAAACCUAUGGUAUUUUAGUUACUAAGGUUACUAAGGUUUUAAUUGUGUGAAUUGUGAGGUGGUGUUUUGACUUGCUCUUGUUGUUGUGGAAAUUACAGCGGGCUAAUUAGGUGAGUAAAAUCUCACCAAGGUCCACUUGUGACCUUUUUAUUUUGGAUGUUGAUUAUGAUGAUGAUUGUGAUGUUGGUUUUGAUAUUGAUUAUGAGGGUGAUUUUGAAUGAUGAGGAUGAUGAUGGUGAUGAUUAUUAUGAUGUUGAUGGUGAUGAUGAUAAGGUUUAUGUUGAUAAAAUGAUGAUGAUUAUUGUUGAUGAUUAUGAUGAUUUUAAAUUUAAAAUAUUUUAUUUCUUUUGGUUGUUUUAAAAUAUAUGAGCUUGAUCGCCAACGGCUCAUAGGUAAGAUAAAACAAGUUUUAUUAUUAUAUGAUUAUUUUUAAGGUUCAUAAAAUUAUAGUAUUUUUAGUUGUCGAUAAGUUAUUCUUGUGGGAAUAACCAUGUCUUGUGCAUAUAAAUAUAUCCAUGUGGAAGGAUAUAAUUUUUAUAAUGUGUUUUUUGUGUUUUGGAUGAUAUUGAAUUAAAGAAUACGCUAUUGUUUGUUUUUAAAAAUAAAUGAGUUUGAUCGUCAACGGCUCAUAGGUGAGAUAAAACAAGUAGAUAGUGAAACUGGGUUCUAAGCUCUUAAUCGGGUGAUUGGUUGUGGUUAUGAUGAUUCUACUCUUUUUGAGAAUUGUGUGUAGAUAGUCAAACUAGGUUCCAAGCCUUUAGUCAGGUGAUUGGUUACAGUUAUGACGCUAUUAUUAUUUUGUGAUGUGAUAUUGGACAGUCAAACUGGGUUCCAAGCCUUUGGCCGGGUGAUUUGUUACGGUUAGGAAUAGAGCUCUAGUCCAUCUGUCGGUGUAGGUCAUGGGUGAUACCUUAUGGUAUCUAGGACCCAUGGGUGCACAAAUUGUUGUUGUAGGUCAUGAGGUAUUUAUUAAUAUCUGGGACUCAUGGGUACAUGUUAUUGUGAAAGUGUUGAAAAUAUGGUUUUAACUUUGUUCUUAAUUGUUGUCAUUUAACUUGUUUGAGUAUCUCCUGAAUUAUGCUUAAUGCAAGAGAUUCUUCAAUUCUUAUUUGUGUAAAUUUUGAGUGGAAUUCCUGAACUAUCAUUAUUUGCAGGAUUCUCUUAUGAUUGAUUGUUUAGUGAAUUGUUAUGUUUUCUCAAUUUCUCUCUUUGAAUUUUAUUGUUGAGGCAAUUCCUGAACUAAGUGCUAAGCAGGAAUUUCCGGUUUCAUUUUGGGUGUUGUUAGGUUGUGAUAUUUUUUGGGAGUUACUCAUACGGGCUAUUUAGCUUACCGGGUUUGUUGUUUUACAACCCGGUGCACCUAUUCAUGGUGUAGGGGUUAGACCUGCAGGUGAUCAUCAGCAGGUUUGAGGCGGAGGCGUAGUGCAGGAUUUUAGUUUCUGUGCAUUUUAUUUUGUUUCUUUUUAUGGCAGUUUGUUUUUAAGCUCAUGUGAGCGACUUUAUUAUUACUAGAUUUUUGAAGUUGAUGUAAUUAUGGAGAUGUAAUGUUUAACUCGGUUGAUGAGUUUAUGUACAUUUACAUUCCAGUAUUUGUUUAGUUUGGAAGUUGUUUAGCAGGUUUUGGUAUAUUAAGAUUUUUGAGUUAUAUCAUGCCCAAAUUUUUGAAAAUUUAUCGUUCGAAAAUUGGGGUGUGACAGUUUGGUAUCAGAGCCUAGGUUUACAUAUUUGGUGAUAAUCAAUACUUCGGAGUGAUGGCCGGACUGCAAUGGAUCACCAUCAUAAGCUCUUCGGUAUUGAUAUGUCAUUGGGUAUGUGAAGGGUUAGGUGUCGCCUCUAGGUCAAUAGGAUGUCAGAGUCAAGUACUCUCUUAAGGGGAUUUUGAGUCUUUGUGUUCCAUCUUGAGUUAGUGUCUUGGUUAAUAAAUGUUGCAUUAGACUUAUACUUUGGUUUAAGUUUUAUGCAUGAGUUAACCAAGGUUUACUUGCUUCUUAGGUGAUGGAUCCUCUGCGAGGAAGAGCUAGAGGCCGAGGUAGGGCGAGGCAGGUGGGGCCAGAUGCAGAGGUAGGGCACCACCUGUGGAUGAUUUCUUUGAGGAGGAGGUGGUGUUGGAGGUGCCAGUGCUAGUUGCGGUAGAUGAUGGUCUACGUCUGGCCAGGCUGGCUCAAGGUAUCAUCAGAUUAGGAGCGCCUUCCUUCCUUGGAGGUACAGACUACCUCGUAGCUGAUCAUUGGAUAGAGGGCAUCGAGACAUACUUCACCAUGAUCACGUGUACGGAGAUUGAGAAGAUGUGUAUAGCUACGUUUCUUCUCAAGGAUGAGGCACGGGUAUGGUGGGGCGGGGUAGAGAGAUCUCGAGAUGUGACCGCCCUGACUUGGAAGGGGUUUGUUCAGCUCUUUCGAGAGAAGUAUUUUCCUCAUACAGUGAGGGAGCAGUUGGAGCAUGAGUUCAUAGCUCUGGUGCAGGGCCUAAUGAGUGUCAGGGAUUAUAAGGCCCAUUUUUCUCAGCUGUAUCGUUUUGCUAGAGAGAUGAGCGCAGUAGAUUUGGCACGAAAGUUCAUUCGGGGUUUGAGGCAUGAGCUCCGGAAGUUGGUGACUUCUCACUGUUUUGCUACUCUAGCAGAAGCGGUUGAGAGUGCCCUUACAGUUGAGCAGGAGGAGGCCAUGCAUAUGGCUGAGGGACAGAGAGAUAUCCAGGGGAAGGGCAAGGCCCUAGCAGGGAGCAGCAGUUCAGGGGACCACAGAGGUGGUUAUGGGAAGAGGCAGCGGACUAAUUAGCAGGCUCUAGCUACAGUGCCAGCUGCACCUAUCCGACAGGAGGAGCCUAGGAGAUGCUACCUUUGCAAUGGGAUGGGACACAUUUCGAAGGAGUGCAACAAGCGAAAGACUCAAGCUUGCUACAGCUAUGGGCAGGUGGGGCACCUUGCUAGGGAGUGUACUCAGCCUCAGGAGGACAGGCAGGGGUACCAGCAGAGGCAGUUGCCUCCGACCCAGUAGUAUUCUGGUGAGUUGAUUGUUUAUCUUUGUUUGGUUGCGUUAGGUGGUGUCAUGUCGUUUGUGCCUUAUAAUGUAGUUGCACUUGUGUGUUAGACUUUCUCUGUGGGGAAAUCCUUUUGUAACUUGUCUUUUGUGCGUGUUUUCGUGUUAUCUUUUGUUGUGUUGGGUGAGGUUUGACCCUAAUGGGAUGCGUGUUUUUGGUUUGGUUGAGUUCUUAGUGAGUGGUGAACUAGUUCGCAUCCUUAGAAACCCUUGUUUCUGUAUAGUUAGCCAUGUGGUGAUAGUGACUACAUUUUGGGAAGGGUGUCACAAGUCGAUUAAUUACCUCUAGGUGUGGUGUGGUCUAGUGUGUUUAAAAUUUCGAGGACGAAAUUUCUUUAUGGAGGGUAGAGUGUAAUACCUCGAAAUUUUAGAUGCUAGUUUCUAUUAUUUUUGAUUGGUUGACUUUUGGUUGACUUUUUAUUCUUUGGGUUUCUCAAGAAACUUUCUUCACGAAAGUUGUAGAGCACGACGAUAUAAGUUCGUAGACAUGUGACACGCGUAAAACGGAUGUCGUAUGAGGAAGUUAUGGUCAGAGGAAGUUAGACUCCGUUGUAGAAACAGUAUAAAUAGAAAAAGUUGUGGGUUUUAUUUUAGAAAACCUAAUUUGCAGAAAACCCCAAUUCUCUUCUCUCACCUUCCUCCCCGAGCCUUCCGUGUUCUCCCGUCUUCUCCGGCACCAAACGCAGCCGUCCGGCCACCGUUUGGGACGGCACCGGUCUUGUCUAGUUCGUAGGACCACUACCUUCAAGUCUAGGACGGUUUUGCACAGCGGGUGAGGUUGACCACGAUGCCUCGCUGUGGGAGCAGGCGGAGCUGCUUGGCCGGAAACCAUUUUUUUUUCCGGUGACGAUUUAAGUAGUGAACGGUGAGACGUGAAGCUCUCUUCCUUCUAAGUGUGUUUGUGCUAGUCUCCAUGGCCGUCAACCGGCGUAGGUGGUGCAGCUAGGCCCGACGCCACCGUCGACGUGUCACCGAUCGGAACCGCCGUUUGCAGCGGCGAAGAGGAGCAACCUUUGGUGAGUUUUGGUCCUCUCUUCCUCCUGGUUUUGUCUAGGCAUAGAUUGAAGCAAGUUUUGAGGUUUUGAGGCCGGUUUUGCAGGUGUGAGGUGUGAUUCCGGUUUAGGGUUUUCGGGGCAACUUCCGGCCGGUUCCGGCCAAAAUUGGUUGAAGCCUCAGGUAUGAAAGUUGUUCCCCUUGCUUCAAGCUUCAACUUUGCAGUUGAGAGUUUUCUCAAAUUCGGAUGUUUGGGGUGGCGCGUGGGGCCCACUCGCCGCCGCCUGUGGCGGCGCGUGGCCGCGCGUCCGGCUGAGUUGCGGCCUUAGUUUCCUGUGGUUAGCCAGUCCUUACUGCUGGGAGCUUGUUCAGUGGUAGUGUGGCUAGAUUUUAAGCAAGGUUGGCAUGUUAGGACUUAGGUUUAUUUGUGUAGGCUUGGCUUAGGUUUGAGUUAGGAUUUGAGGAUUAGAGGCAACCAUUUUAGGUCUCUAAGUUCGACGACGUUGGAAAGUUGUCCUCUCUUGAUCUAAGGGUUAGUUGAGGGUAUUGUGAAAACCUUUGGUAUUUUAGUUACUAAGGUUUUAAUUGUGUGUUUUUAGGUGAAUUGUGAGGUGGUGUUUUGGCUUGCUCUUGUUGUUGUGGAAAUUGCAGCGGGCUUAUUAGGUGAGUAAAAUCUCACCAAGGUCCACUUGUGACCUUUUUAUUUUGGAUGUUGAUUAUGAUGAUGAUUGUGAUGUUGGUUUUGAUAUUGAUUAUGAGGGUGAUUUUGAAUGAUGAGGAUGAUGAUGGUGAUGAUUAUUAUGAUGUUGAUGGUGAUGAUGACAAG